This 477-nucleotide ribosomal RNA is filed under the name Candidatus Scalindua marina (nom. nud.). RNAcentral describes it as "bacterial SSU rRNA". It matches the Rfam family "Bacterial small subunit ribosomal RNA", at positions 365 to 832 of the family's 1533-position model. Lineage: Bacteria; Pseudomonadati; Planctomycetota; Candidatus Brocadiia; Candidatus Brocadiales; Candidatus Scalinduaceae. The record is from RNAcentral.
UUCGCAAUGCCCGAAAGGGUGACGAAGCGACGCCGCGUGGGUGAGGAAGGCCCUCGGGUUGUAAAGCCCUGUCAGGAGUUAAGAAAUGUAAGUGCGCUAAUAUCGCAUUUAUUUGACAAAGGCCCCAAAGGAAGCCACGGCUAACUCUGUGCCAGCAGCCGCGGUAAUACAGAGGUGGCAAGCGUUGUUCGGAAUUAUUGGGCGUAAAGAGCACGUAGGUGGGUUUGUAAGUCAGAUAUGAAAGCCUUCUGUUCAACGGAAGAAUUGCAUCUGAAACUACAAGUCUUGAGUGUAGGAGGGGAGAAUGGAACUUCUGGUGGAGCGGUGAAAUGCGUAGAUAUCAGAAGGAACGCCGGCGGCGAAAGCGAUUCUCUGGCCUAUUACUGACACUCAGUGUGCGAAAGCUAGGGGAGCAAACGGGAUUAGAUACCCCGGUAGUCCUAGCCGUAAACGAUGGGCACUAAGUAGAGGGGUUUU